Molecule: ribosomal RNA, 497 nt
Filed under: uncultured bacterium
Lineage: Bacteria
Description: partial 16S ribosomal RNA
Rfam family: Bacterial small subunit ribosomal RNA
Source: RNAcentral
GAUGAACGCUGGCGGCGUGCCUAAUACAUGCAAGUCGAGCGAACGGACGAGAAGCUUGCUUCUCUGAUGUUAGCGGCGGACGGGUGAGUAACACGUGGAUAACCUACCUAUAAGACUGGGAUAACUUCGGGAAACCGGAGCUAAUACCGGAUAAUAUUCUGAACCGCAUGGUUCAAAAGUGAAAGACGGUCGUGCUGUCACUUAUAGAUGGAUCCGCGCUGCAUUAGGUAGUUGGUAAGGUAACGGCUUACCAAGGCAACGAUGCAUAGCCGACCUGAGAGAGUGGUCGGCCACACUAGAGCUGAACCGCGGACCAUGCUCCUGAGGGAGGCCGCAGUAGGGAAUCUUCCGCAGUAGGCGGAAGCCUUACAGAGCGACGCGGCGUGUGUGGUGAAGGUCUUCGGAUCGUAAUACUCUGUUAUUAGGGAUGAACAUAUGUGUAAGUAGCUGUACACAUCUUGACGGUACCUAAUCAGAAAGCCCCGGCUAACUACGUG